Molecule: RNase P RNA, 363 nt
Filed under: Atopobacter sp. AH10
Lineage: Bacteria; Bacillati; Bacillota; Bacilli; Lactobacillales; Carnobacteriaceae
Description: Bacterial RNase P class B
Rfam family: Bacterial RNase P class B
About the family: Ribonuclease P (RNase P) is a ubiquitous endoribonuclease, found in archaea, bacteria and eukarya as well as chloroplasts and mitochondria. Its best characterised activity is the generation of mature 5'-ends of tRNAs by cleaving the 5'-leader elements of precursor-tRNAs.
Source: Rfam by way of RNAcentral
GAUUUCGGGUAAUUGCGCUUAUUAAGUUAAGUGAGGAAAGUCCAUGCUCGCACUAGCUGAGAUGCUAGUAGUGAUCGUGCUUAGCGAAACAAUAAGCUAAGGCAAUACAUAUUGACGGCGGACAAACAGGCUAAGGGAAACUAUGCCUCAGUAAUCCUGAAAAGUGCCACAGUGACGAAGUGCCAGGGAAACCUCGGCAGUGGAACGCGGUAAACCCCUCGAGCGAGCAACCCAAACAUUAUUGGUAGGGGCACUCUUCUAACGGAAUUGAACGUGUGGAGGAGCCGGGAAACCGGAGACAGAUAAUUACCCCUAGUAGAGAAGUUCCUGCAGCUCUAUUAGGACAGAACAUGGCUUACAGAA